RNAcentral lists this ribosomal RNA (253 nucleotides) under uncultured bacterium. Its description in RNAcentral is "partial 16S ribosomal RNA". It matches the Rfam family "Bacterial small subunit ribosomal RNA", at positions 524 to 776 of the family's 1533-position model. The record is from RNAcentral.
UACGGAGGGUGCAAGCGUUAUCCGGAUUCACUGGGUUUAAAGGGUGCGUAGGCGGCUUGAUAAGUCAGUGGUGAAAGCUCGCAGCUCAACUGUGAAACUGCCAUUGAAACUGUCUAGCUUGAAUCUGGUUGAAGUGGGCGGAAUACAACAUGUAGCGGUGAAAUGCUUAGAUAUGUUGUAGAACACCGAUUGCGAAGGCAGCUCACUAAGCCAACAUUGACGCUGAGGCACGAAAGCGUGGGUAGCGAACAGG